RNAcentral lists this transfer RNA (70 nucleotides) under Thaumetopoea pityocampa (pine processionary moth). Its description in RNAcentral is "tRNA-Ala". It matches the Rfam family "tRNA". From Rfam's summary of the family: Transfer RNA (tRNA) molecules are approximately 80 nucleotides in length. Their secondary structure includes four short double-helical elements and three loops (D, anti-codon, and T loops). Further hydrogen bonds mediate the characteristic L-shaped molecular structure. tRNAs have two regions of fundamental functional importance: the anti-codon, which is responsible for specific mRNA codon recognition, and the 3' end, to which the tRNAs corresponding amino acid is attached (by aminoacyl-tRNA synthetases). tRNAs cope with the degeneracy of the genetic code in two manners: having more than one tRNA (with a specific anti-codon) for a particular amino acid; and 'wobble' base-pairing, i.e. permitting non-standard base-pairing at the 3rd anti-codon position. Lineage: Eukaryota; Metazoa; Arthropoda; Insecta; Lepidoptera; Notodontidae. The record is from RNAcentral.
AGGAUUAUAGUUUAUAAAAACAUUUGAUUUGCACUCAAAAAAUAUUAAAUUUUAAUUUAAUUUAUCUUAC